This 61-nucleotide transfer RNA is filed under the name Nactus cheverti. RNAcentral describes it as "tRNA-Tyr". Lineage: Eukaryota; Metazoa; Chordata; Lepidosauria; Squamata; Gekkonidae. The record is from RNAcentral.
UGGUAAUGGGGGACGGCCCCCGUAAACGGGUCUACAGCCCGCCACCUACUCUCGGCCACAC